GAUGAACGCUGGCGGCGUGCUUAACACAUGCAAGUCGAACGGUGAAGGCGGAGCUUGCUCUGCUGGAUCAGUGGCGAACGGGUGAGUAACACGUGAGCAAUCUGCCCCUGACUCUGGGAUAAGCGCUGGAAACGGCGUCUAAUACUGGAUACGAGCUGCGAAGGCAUCUUCAGCAGCUGGAAAUAAUUUCGGUCAGGGAUGAGCUCGCGGCCUAUCAGCUUGUUGGUGAGGUAAUGGCUCACCAAGGCGUCGACGGGUAGCCGGCCUGAGAGGGUGACCGGCCACAGUGGGACUGAGAGACGGCACAGACUCCAACGGGAGGCAGCAGUGGGGAAUAGUGCACAAGGGGAGAAAGCCGGAUGCAGCAACGCCGCGUGAGGGACGACGGCCUUCGGGUUGUAAACCUAUUUUAGCAGGGAAGAAGCGAAAGUGACGGUACCUGCAGAAAAAGCGCCGGCUAACUACGUG
Molecule: ribosomal RNA, 468 nt
Filed under: uncultured bacterium
Lineage: Bacteria
Description: partial 16S ribosomal RNA
Rfam family: Bacterial small subunit ribosomal RNA
Source: RNAcentral